ACACUUCAACUCUCAUGGUUUGCCAUGAUGGGCUUGGACUCUGGGGGUUUUGCUGGCCUCUGUGGUCAGCUCCUCUCAAAUGAAUCAGCUUGCCCAGUAUUUGGGGGCAUCGUGGGUGUGAUAACUAUCUACGCCUGUGGUCGUCUGCCAUGUAACCUUCUGUGAUGGAGGUUUGCUGGGGCUUACAAACGCCCUCUCCUCAGCGAGGAUGGCAUUUUGAAU
This 222-nucleotide unclassified non-coding RNA is filed under the name uncultured Thelephora. RNAcentral's name for it is "sequence contains ITS2". Lineage: Eukaryota; Fungi; Basidiomycota; Agaricomycetes; Thelephorales; Thelephoraceae. The record is from RNAcentral.